CAGUCGCCGCGGGAAUACAGAGGGUGCGAGCGUUAAUCGGAUUUACUGGGCGUAAAGCGUGCGUAGGCGGCUUUUUAAGUCGGAUGUGAAAUCCCUGAGCUUAACUUAGGAAUUGCAUUCGAUACUGGGAAGCUAGAGUAUGGGAGAGGAUGGUAGAAUUCCAGGUGUAGCGGUGAAAUGCGUAGAGAUCUGGAGGAAUACCGAUGGCGAAGGCAGCCAUCUGGCCUAAUACUGACGCUGAGGUACGAAAGCAUGGGGAGCAAACAGGAUUAGAGACCCGAGUAGUCCCUGUCUCUUAUAC
Molecule: ribosomal RNA, 301 nt
Filed under: uncultured bacterium
Lineage: Bacteria
Description: partial 16S ribosomal RNA
Rfam family: Bacterial small subunit ribosomal RNA
Source: RNAcentral